ACUGCCGAGUCAGCGCUUCGC
Molecule: microRNA, 21 nt
Filed under: Chrysemys picta (Painted turtle)
Lineage: Eukaryota; Metazoa; Chordata; Testudines; Emydidae
Description: cpi-miR-93-3p
Gene: cpi-miR-93-3p
Source: miRBase by way of RNAcentral